Molecule: ribosomal RNA, 487 nt
Filed under: uncultured Sphingobacteriales bacterium
Lineage: Bacteria; Pseudomonadati; Bacteroidota; Sphingobacteriia; Sphingobacteriales
Description: bacterial SSU rRNA
Rfam family: Bacterial small subunit ribosomal RNA
Source: RNAcentral
CAGAAACUACAAAGGAAGUUGACGGGGCCCGCGACAAGCGGAGGAACAUGUGGUUUAAUUCGAUGAUACGCGAGGAACCUUACCUGGGCUUAAAUGGGAGUGACAGCUGUCGAAAGAUGGUCUUCUUCGGACACUCUUCAAGGUGCUGCAUGGUUGUCGUCAGCUCGUGCCGUGAGGUGUCGGGUUAAGUCCCAUAACGAGCGCAACCCUUACCGUUAGUUACCAUCAGGUUAAGCUGGGGACUCUAGCGGGACUGCCACCGUAAGGUGAGAGGAAGGUGGGGAUGACGUCAAAUCAGCACGGCCCUUAUGUCCAGGGCUACACACGUGUUACAAUGGCCGGUACAAAGGGCAGCUACUUCGCGAGAAGAUGCUAAUCUCAAAAGCCGGUCUCAGUUCGGAUCGGAGUCUGCAACCCGACUCCGUGAAGCUGGAAUCGCCAGUAAUCGCGCAUCAGCCAUGGCGCGGUGAAUACGUUCCCGGGCCUU